UACAGAGGUCCCAAGCGUUGUUCGGAUUCACUGGGCGUAAAGGGGUGCGAUAGGCGGUCGGGUAAGUCUGAUGUGAAAUCUCACAGCUUAACUGUGAAACUGCAUUGGAUACUAUCCGGCUAGAGGAAUGGAGGGGAGACGUGGAAUACUUGGUGUAGCAGUGAAAUGCGUAGAUAUCAAGUGGAACACCAGUGGCGAAGGCGAGUCUCUGGACAUUUCCUGACGCUGAGGCACGAAAGCCAGGGGAGCAAACGGG
Molecule: ribosomal RNA, 256 nt
Filed under: uncultured bacterium
Lineage: Bacteria
Description: partial 16S ribosomal RNA
Rfam family: Bacterial small subunit ribosomal RNA
Source: RNAcentral